UAAGUUCACCAGGGGUGCUGACUUUUAGUUGGCUGAGACUUGACCCUUUGAACCUGCUCUGGUUAAUACCUGCGGAGGGAGUGUGAAAGUAAACUUAA
This 98-nucleotide non-coding RNA is filed under the name Francisella sp. Its description in RNAcentral is "TPP sequence". It matches the Rfam family "TPP riboswitch aptamer (THI element)". From Rfam's summary of the family: Vitamin B(1) in its active form thiamin pyrophosphate (TPP) is an essential coenzyme that is synthesised by coupling of pyrimidine and thiazole moieties in bacteria. The previously detected thiamin-regulatory element, thi box was extended, resulting in a new, highly conserved RNA secondary structure, the THI element, which is widely distributed in eubacteria and also occurs in some archaea. Analysis of operon structures identified a large number of new candidate thiamin-regulated genes, mostly transporters, in various prokaryotic organisms. The record is from RNAcentral. Lineage: Bacteria; Pseudomonadati; Pseudomonadota; Gammaproteobacteria; Thiotrichales; Francisellaceae.